RNAcentral lists this ribosomal RNA (531 nucleotides) under Colletotrichum gloeosporioides. RNAcentral describes it as "eukaryotic LSU rRNA". The stretch from base 159 to 312 matches the Rfam family "5.8S ribosomal RNA". Lineage: Eukaryota; Fungi; Ascomycota; Sordariomycetes; Glomerellales; Glomerellaceae. The record is from RNAcentral.
UCUACACCCUUUGUGACAUACCUAUAACUGUUGCUUCGGCGGGUAGGGUCUCCGUGACCCUCCCGGCCUCCCGCCCCCGGGCGGGUCGGCGCCCGCCGGAGGAUAACCAAACUCUGAUUUAACGACGUUUCUUCUGAGUGGUACAAGCAAAUAAUCAAAACUUUUAACAACGGAUCUCUUGGUUCUGGCAUCGAUGAAGAACGCAGCGAAAUGCGAUAAGUAAUGUGAAUUGCAGAAUUCAGUGAAUCAUCGAAUCUUUGAACGCACAUUGCGCCCGCCAGCAUUCUGGCGGGCAUGCCUGUUCGAGCGUCAUUUCAACCCUCAAGCUCUGCUUGGUGUUGGGGCCCUACAGCUGAUGUAGGCCCUCAAAGGUAGUGGCGGACCCUCCCGGAGCCUCCUUUGCGUAGUAACUUUACGUCUCGCACUGGGAUCCGGAGGGACUCUUGCCGUAAAACCCCCAAUUUUCCAAAGGUUGACCUCGGAUCAGGUAGGAAUACCCGCUGAACUUAAGCAUAUCAAUAAGCGGAGGAA